RNAcentral lists this long non-coding RNA (1357 nucleotides) under Malus domestica (apple). RNAcentral's name for it is "long non-coding RNA (MDOM_LNC019370)". The record is from RNAcentral. Lineage: Eukaryota; Viridiplantae; Streptophyta; Magnoliopsida; Rosales; Rosaceae.
AAAUGUCCCUAAGUUCCAGCAACAUUGAAGGUUUCCUAUGCAUUUUAGGACACAAAUUAAGGGUUCCUUGUACCAUAACAUACCUUUGCCGUGCACUUCAUCCAUGUUUAAUUCUUGCAUCAAUCAUCACUUCACUUUCUGAUAGGAGCAUAUUUAUGCGCCUUAGUUAGCUAGUUCUUAUGCAUUUAUGUUGUGUUUUCUUAGUUAAGUUAGUCUUUUAAGCUAUUUUCAUGUGUUUUCAGGUUUUAAGGACAAAGUAAGCAAAAAGAUGCUAAUUGGAGCAUUUUGGAGCAAAAUUGAGCUAGAAUGGAGCUCAUGCAUGUGGGAGCACAAAGAGUGGACGAAUUUGAAGGAUUGAAGAAGCUUGGAAUGUGUUUCAAAGUUGAAGAAUUGAAGAUGCAAAGUUUCCUAAUUGAAGUAGGAAAGUGCUUAAUUGAAGAUGAAAUCCUAGUCAACAAUGGAUUCCUAGUUGAAGAAUGAUUCCUAGUUGAAGUUGGAUUUCUAGAAGAUUGAAGAUUCCUACUCAAACAAGGUUUCCUACUUGAAGAAGGGAAGUUAAAGCCAAAGAAUCAGCUUAAGUGAAGAAACCUUAUCCAAAACAUUAUCCAUAACCUUAUCUUAGCUUAUCUUAUCCAAACAAACCUUAUCCUAUCCUAUCUUAACCUAAUCCUAAUCCACCUAUAUUUCAGCUGGGAGGGAGGAUUCCUAACUAUAUUAGGAUGCUUAAAAUCAGAUUUCUAGAAGACCUAAUCCUUUCCUACAAAGGUGGCGCCUAGAACCUUUCUAGAAGACCUUUGCCUUGCAUUGCAAUUCAGCCACUUUCCCUCCAAUUCUUGCCGUGAGUUUUCACCCAAUUCCCUUGGGAUUUUGGUUUCUAGAAGCCCUUAUCCUUUCCUAGUUUCUAGAAGCCCUUAUCCUUUCCUAGUUUAAUGCCGUACCUUAUCCUCCCAUUCCCUCUGGAUUUCUGAUUUGUUUUCCUUCAAGGAUUGUGUGUUAUUUUCCUAUGCAAAUUAGGCCUUUAAAUCCUUUUCCUUUGCUACCUAAGGGCUGUGAUUUUCAGCCUAUAAAUACAACCCUUUGCCGCACGAAUUGAUUACGACCCUCUACCAUAUUUUCACUACACCAUUCACCCAAACAUCCCUCUUGUGCCGUGAGUUUGCAAAGGAGAAGGAAGGAGACUCUUGGAGCCGUGCAUGCCAUUCAAGGAGCUUGGAUUGUUGGAGCGUUUCUAGGUGUUUUCUAUCUUUAUGUCAAUGUUUAAAUUUAUUUAUCUUUGUUUAUUUGUGAACAUGAGGAACUAAUUUCUUUAUAGUUAGAGGGGAAUUCAAAGCCAUGAUCAUAUGUUUUAUAUGACUUG